Molecule: ribosomal RNA, 252 nt
Filed under: uncultured bacterium
Lineage: Bacteria
Description: partial 16S ribosomal RNA
Rfam family: Bacterial small subunit ribosomal RNA
Source: RNAcentral
CUGGUGAGUAACGCGUGAGGAACCUGCCUUCCAGAGGGGGACAACAGUUGGAAACGACUGCUAAUACCGCAUAACGUGCAGCCGGGGCAUCCCGGAGGCACCAAAGAUUUUAUCGCUGGAAGAUGGCCUCGCGUCUGAUUAGCUAGUUGGUGGGGUAAUGGCCCACCAAGGCGACGAUCAGUAGCCGGACUGAGAGGUUGGCCGGCCACAUUGGGACUGAGAUACGGCCCAGACUCCUACGGGAGGCAGCAG